This 323-nucleotide long non-coding RNA is filed under the name Nicotiana benthamiana. RNAcentral's name for it is "long non-coding RNA (NBEN_LNC008982)". Lineage: Eukaryota; Viridiplantae; Streptophyta; Magnoliopsida; Solanales; Solanaceae. The record is from RNAcentral.
GAACACUUAAUCCUGCUUUUACUAAUAUUUUCCAUGCUAGAUGUAUAUGUCAUAUUUAUCAUUUAAUUGUUGGUAAUGGUAUGAGAAUAUUAAACUUAGAAAUUGAAAAGGUUAAAAUGGCUCUUAAUUGGCUAUUUUAUUCAAACUGUAGAAGUAAACUUAAAAAAUAUUUUAAAAAGUGUGACGAAUAUGGCCUUAGAGAAAGAAAGGUUCCUAAACCUUGCCACACUAGGUGGAAUUACAUGUACGAAAGUUUAGUAGUAGCGUACGAAUAUAGAAACCCAAUUAACGCUACGUAUAAUUCUCGGGAUUGUGGUGAGGAA